This 306-nucleotide ribosomal RNA is filed under the name Triticum aestivum (bread wheat). RNAcentral describes it as "partial small subunit ribosomal RNA". The record is from RNAcentral. Lineage: Eukaryota; Viridiplantae; Streptophyta; Magnoliopsida; Poales; Poaceae.
AUGCGCGGAUCCACGGGAAGGGGUCGUCGUGGGUGGGGAUGGCGGGAUGGCGUCGGCGCAGCGGACGGUGGUUCGUUGGGAGGAAGAAGGCAGAGGCAGGGCGAAGCACGUGUGAAGUUUGCUGAUGUAUUUUGUGUUUGGGCACAACCGCGCGUGAUGCAGAUCUCAUCUAACACACAGAACUCAUCUGGGAGGCGCCAUGGGAGAGGGGAGAGAGAAGAAGAAAGAGCAGACGCCAUGGGAGAGAGGGAGAGAGAAGAGCAAAGAACAGAGAGGCAUGUCAAAAGGACAAGUGCCCAGAGAUAA